AAUACAUUACCUUUGUGAUUAAGGUUAAGGUUAAGGCUAUAAAAGGAAGCCAUGCUUUCUACUUCUACCUUAGACACAAAAGUCAGCUGGUAAGUUUAGGGCAAUCAUUCUUUCUCAGACUUACCCAUCUCACAGGGUUGUUGAUAUGGGAAAAUAAGAGAUGGAUGUAGACAAAAUAAAGGCCGGAUAUAAAUGUAAAAAUAAGUAAAUGAACAUUUGCAAAAUGACCUCAUCACAUGUUUGUCACACUUUAUUAUUUGCUCUUUCUGACCUUGGAAAUGUCCUUUUUGUCACCCCUAACCUAAUUCAUUUCUUAGUCUCUUUUUUAUUAUUAUUAUUAUAAACACCCUAUUCUCGUAACUGCUUCCCUUGUUCUUUCUUUAUAAACUGUUCCAGAUAAGCUAGCAAUGGAAAGUGGCGUUUCAGAGAGCAGAGGCUGUUUGAAAAGGAAAUCACUGCUCACAAGGUGGGGAAACUAAUCUGGCUUCACAUCUGUUUGGUUAAAAUGUGCCCCUUGCCUCAAAACUGAACGUGGCAUUAGAAGCCCAAACUUGCUACUGACUGGUACUGUUUUACUAUGUGGCAGAAGCCGGGGUCUGCAACGUAAUAAGUCCUCUAAGAACUGGCAUUAGCUUUCGGUGCUAUUGGGCUGCUCAUUGAUCCAGAAACACCCAUUGUACAAUGUAGUCAAGGAUCAGCCCUAAAGUGAGACAUGACAUUUGGAUUUACUCUUUGCAAACUCACGUGACGCUCCCGCAGAGCCACCUGGAUGGUGAAAUACAGCAAAGAAGCUCAGCGCAGCUCCAUAUGCUCUUCUUGCCACUGUCAGCUUUUUCACAACAUUGACUUUCAUGAUGCUGACCUAUGUAGACUCUUGACAAAUGCCAAUGAUGACUGGAAGGGACAUCUGCAGUAUCACAUCUCGAAGCGCUUGUUUGUACAUUCAGGUCAUAGCUUCUGAACUGCCUGGUCAGAAAGUGGAGGAAGCUUUAAUCAUUUCCAUCUGGUUGACCAUUGCUUCAGGGUGAAUUAAAAGCUACACCCUGCCUCUGCACUCAGCAUGUUAUCUUCUUUUAUUUUACUAAUGGACUGAUUUAUCUCAUUUGCUUUAUAAAUAAAUAGAGCACUAUAGGUAAAGAUUCUCUUGAGGUGGGAUCAACUCCUGAUGAUUUCAUAGACAUGACUGUACAAUUUUCAUGGCAGUGUUACAGAAGCAGUUUGCCACUGCCUUCUUCCAGAAGGUUGCUUUGAUUGCCAGUCUAGCAAAUAGCCUAGAUAUUUCCUGCUAGCUUGACCCUGCUUAGCUGAACCCUACAAAGAAAGUUGCAGUAAGAAUAAUGAAUAACAAAUAAACAAAAAAUAGAGUGU
Molecule: non-coding RNA, 1368 nt
Organism: Thamnophis sirtalis
Lineage: Eukaryota; Metazoa; Chordata; Lepidosauria; Squamata; Natricidae
Source: RefSeq, a predicted model, not a curated record